AUAAUUUUCUAAUUAUAGAGUAAGCACAGGUAGUUACAAAUUUUAUAACAAAUUUGAGGAAAGUCCGGUCUCUUUUUAGGACAAUAUAGCUAUAUAGGAAAUAGUGUAGGUAACUAUGAGGACAGUGCCACAGAAAUAAACCGCCUACGCAUAGGUAAGGGUGCAAAGGUGUAGUAAAAGUCCACCAGUAAUAUUAUUAAAAUAUUAGCUAGGUAAACCCCGUAUUAAGAGUAAAGUGGUCUUUUAAUUUUUAUAUUCUAUAGUUAUUAAUUACAAUAAAUGAUAUUUUAAAUCUGCAGGAAGUAAAGUAAAGUCAUUGUUUUACUCUAGAUGAAUAACUACCCUUUAUGUAACUUUUAUUGUAAUGUAAAGAACAAAAUCCGGCUUAUGACUUACUCAUAA
Molecule: RNase P RNA, 402 nt
Filed under: Betaphycus gelatinus
Lineage: Eukaryota; Rhodophyta; Florideophyceae; Gigartinales; Solieriaceae
Rfam family: Bacterial RNase P class A
About the family: Ribonuclease P (RNase P) is a ubiquitous endoribonuclease, found in archaea, bacteria and eukarya as well as chloroplasts and mitochondria. Its best characterised activity is the generation of mature 5'-ends of tRNAs by cleaving the 5'-leader elements of precursor-tRNAs. Cellular RNase Ps are ribonucleoproteins.
Source: RNAcentral